CUCAAGGAAGCGCUUUGUCCACGUGAACACAAAGCGCGCCCUCAAGGAAAGCAUUUUUUGUCCACAUGGACAAAGCACUUCCUUGAGG
Non-coding RNA from Gossypium hirsutum (cotton), 88 nucleotides. Lineage: Eukaryota; Viridiplantae; Streptophyta; Magnoliopsida; Malvales; Malvaceae. The record is from Rfam.